This 504-nucleotide unclassified non-coding RNA is filed under the name Cenococcum geophilum. RNAcentral's name for it is "partial contains ITS1, 5.8S rRNA and ITS2". The stretch from base 141 to 294 matches the Rfam family "5.8S ribosomal RNA". The record is from RNAcentral. Lineage: Eukaryota; Fungi; Ascomycota; Dothideomycetes; Gloniales; Gloniaceae.
CAGAAAGUAAACGCGGAUCAAACCGCGAACUUUUAAACCUUUGACGAUUGACUCAUGUUGCCUCGGCGGGUUCUCUCGCCAGAGGAUACAUCAAAACUCCUGUUUUAACGGUGUUGUCUGAGCUACAAGCAACGAAUCAAAACUUUCAACAACGGAUCUCUUGGUUCUGGCAUCGAUGAAGAACGCAGCGAAAUGCGAUAAGUAGUGUGAAUUGCAGAAUUCAGUGAAUCAUCGAAUCUUUGAACGCACAUUGCGCCCCUUGGUAUCCCGAGGGGCAUGCCUGUUCGAGCGUCAUUUCACCACUCAAGCCUGGCUUGGUGUUGGGCGACGUCCCCUUCAGGGACGCGCCUCGAAACGCUCGGCGGCGUGGCACCGGCUUUAAGCGUAGCAGAAUCUUUCGCUUCAAAAGUUGGGGCCCCGUCUGCCGGAAGACCUACUCGCAAGGUUGACCUCGGAUCAGGCAGGGAUACCCGCUGAACUUAAGCAUAUCAAUAAGCGGAGGAA